Molecule: ribosomal RNA, 617 nt
Filed under: uncultured archaeon
Lineage: Archaea
Description: bacterial SSU rRNA
Rfam family: Archaeal small subunit ribosomal RNA
Source: RNAcentral
GGUAAUGGCCCACCAAGCCGAUGAUCGGUACGGGUUGUGAGAGCAAGGGCCCGGAGAUGGAACCUGAGACAAGGUUCCAGACCCUACGGGGUGCAGCAGGCGCGAAACCUCCGCAAUGUACGAAAGUGCGACGGGGGGAUCCCAAGUGUUAUGCUUUUUUGUAUGACUUUUCAUUAGUGUAAAAAGCUUUUAGAAUAAGAGCUGGGCAAGACCGGUGCCAGCCGCCGCGGUAACACCGGCAGCUCGAGUGGUAGCUGUUUUUAUUGGGCCUAAAGCGUUCGUAGCCGGUUUGAUAAGUCUUUGGUGAAAGCUUGUAGCUUAACUAUAAGAAUUGCUGGAGAUACUAUUAGACUUGAAGUCGGGAGAGGUUAGAGGUACUACCGGGGUAGGGGUGAAAUCCUAUAAUCCUGGGAGGACCACCUGUGGCGAAGGCGUCUAACUGGAACGAUCUUGACGGUGAGUAACGAAAGCCAGGGGCGCGAACCGGAUUAGAUACCCGGGUAGUCCUGGCCGUAACGAUGUGGACUUGGUGUUGGAAUGGCUUUGAGUUGUUCCGGUGCCGAAGGGAAGCUGUUAAGUCCACCGCCCGGGAAGUACGUCGCAAGACUGAAACUUAA